This 1417-nucleotide ribosomal RNA is filed under the name Limosilactobacillus fermentum. RNAcentral describes it as "bacterial SSU rRNA". It matches the Rfam family "Bacterial small subunit ribosomal RNA". The record is from RNAcentral. Lineage: Bacteria; Bacillati; Bacillota; Bacilli; Lactobacillales; Lactobacillaceae.
CAGUCGACGCGUUGGCCCAAUUGAUUGAUGGUGCUUGCACCUGAUUGAUUUUGGUCGCCAACGAGUGGCGGACGGGUGAGUAACACGUAGGUAACCUGCCCAGAAGCGGGGGACAACAUUUGGAAACAGAUGCUAAUACCGCAUAACAGCGUUGUUCGCAUGAACAACGCUUAAAAGAUGGCUUCUCGCUAUCACUUCUGGAUGGACCUGCGGUGCAUUAGCUUGUUGGUGGGGUAACGGCCUACCAAGGCGAUGAUGCAUAGCCGAGUUGAGAGACUGAUCGGCCACAAUGGGACUGAGACACGGCCCAUACUCCUACGGGAGGCAGCAGUAGGGAAUCUUCCACAAUGGGCGCAAGCCUGAUGGAGCAACACCGCGUGAGUGAAGAAGGGUUUCGGCUCGUAAAGCUCUGUUGUUAAAGAAGAACACGUAUGAGAGUAACUGUUCAUACGUUGACGGUAUUUAACCAGAAAGUCACGGCUAACUACGUGCCAGCAGCCGCGGUAAUACGUAGGUGGCAAGCGUUAUCCGGAUUUAUUGGGCGUAAAGAGAGUGCAGGCGGUUUUCUAAGUCUGAUGUGAAAGCCUUCGGCUUAACCGGAGAAGUGCAUCGGAAACUGGAUAACUUGAGUGCAGAAGAGGGUAGUGGAACUCCAUGUGUAGCGGUGGAAUGCGUAGAUAUAUGGAAGAACACCAGUGGCGAAGGCGGCUACCUGGUCUGCAACUGACGCUGAGACUCGAAAGCAUGGGUAGCGAACAGGAUUAGAUACCCUGGUAGUCCAUGCCGUAAACGAUGAGUGCUAGGUGUUGGAGGGUUUCCGCCCUUCAGUGCCGGAGCUAACGCAUUAAGCACUCCGCCUGGGGAGUACGACCGCAAGGUUGAAACUCAAAGGAAUUGACGGGGGCCCGCACAAGCGGUGGAGCAUGUGGUUUAAUUCGAAGCUACGCGAAGAACCUUACCAGGUCUUGACAUCUUGCGCCAACCCUAGAGAUAGGGCGUUUCCUUCGGGAACGCAAUGACAGGUGGUGCAUGGUCGUCGUCAGCUCGUGUCGUGAGAUGUUGGGUUAAGUCCCGCAACGAGCGCAACCCUUGUUACUAGUUGCCAGCAUUAAGUUGGGCACUCUAGUGAGACUGCCGGUGACAAACCGGAGGAAGGUGGGGACGACGUCAGAUCAUCAUGCCCCUUAUGACCUGGGCUACACACGUGCUACAAUGGACGGUACAACGAGUCGCGAACUCGCGAGGGCAAGCAAAUCUCUUAAAACCGUUCUCAGUUCGGACUGCAGGCUGCAACUCGCCUGCACGAAGUCGGAAUCGCUAGUAAUCGCGGAUCAGCAUGCCGCGGUGAAUACGUUCCCGGGCCUUGUACACACCGCCCGUCACACCAUGAGAGUUUGUAACACCCAAAGUCGGUGGG